This 497-nucleotide ribosomal RNA is filed under the name uncultured bacterium. Its description in RNAcentral is "partial 16S ribosomal RNA". It matches the Rfam family "Bacterial small subunit ribosomal RNA", at positions 28 to 507 of the family's 1533-position model. The record is from RNAcentral.
GAUGAACGCUGGCGGCGUGCCUAAUACAUGCAAGUCGAGCGAACGGACGAGAAGCUUGCUUCUCUGAUGCUAGCGGCGGACGGGUGAGUAACACGUGGAUAACCUACCUAUAAGACUGGGAUAACUUCGGGAAACCGGAGCUAAUACCGGAUAAUAUUUUGAACCGCAUGGUUCAAAAGUAAAAGACGGUCUUGCUGUCACUUAUAGAUGGAUCCGCGCUGCAUUAGCUAGUUGGUAAGGUAACGGCUUACCAAGGCAACGAUGCAUAGCCGACCUGAGAGGGUGAUCGGCCACACUGGAACUGAGACACGGUCCAGACUCCUACGGGAGGCAGCAGUAGGGAAUCUUCCGCAAUGGGCGAAAGCCUGACGGAGCAACGCCGCGUGAGUGAUGAAGGUCUUCGGAUCGUAAAACUCUGUUAUUAGGGAAGAACAAAUGUGUAAGUAACUGUGCACAUCUUGACGGUACCUAAUCAGAAAGCCACGGCUAACUACGUG